This 504-nucleotide long non-coding RNA is filed under the name Mus caroli (Ryukyu mouse). RNAcentral's name for it is "lncRNA (MGP_CAROLIEiJ_G0004014.1)". The record is from RNAcentral. Lineage: Eukaryota; Metazoa; Chordata; Mammalia; Rodentia; Muridae.
CUAUAGACGUCUCGUGCUCGCAGAUGCCGCCCAGCGGCUCCGGGGCGGCAGGCCAGAGCGAUAGGAUUGCUAGGCUUACCAGGCGGACGCUGCUACCCUGCGUGGAGCACUCUAGUCAAGUGUUCGGGACACCCCCACCCCCACGCCCGGGACCAGCCGGUGGGUCCUCUGAGCCUCGCAGAAAAGGACCCUAAGGAGAGCGCACAGGGGCCGCGAGAGGGCAGGGUGUUGGAGAGGAGUGAACUUGAAUUGGGGACCGUGAUCCCCAGGCGGGGCCCAUAGUCAGGGGCCUGAAGCCACAGUUUUCUUUCCCUACUGUCAUUCAUGGGGGCACUAAUCUCGGUAGCUCGGGUGUCUAAUUCCUGGCUACGAAGCCUUUCGAGCACCCACUGGGAGCCCUCCGCGCCGCGCCGCCUACAGGCUCGCGGCUGUGGGUAGGAGUUUGCGUGCGUCGACUCCCAGCCACGUGGCGUCCCGUUCACCCUCCACCUGGAUCGCGGCCGC